UCCCUGGUGGUCCAAUAGUUAGGACUUGGCACUUCCACUGCCAUGAGCCUGGGUUCAAUCCCUGGUGGGGGAA
This 73-nucleotide transfer RNA is filed under the name Ovis aries (sheep). It matches the Rfam family "tRNA". Rfam says of the family: Transfer RNA (tRNA) molecules are approximately 80 nucleotides in length. Their secondary structure includes four short double-helical elements and three loops (D, anti-codon, and T loops). Lineage: Eukaryota; Metazoa; Chordata; Mammalia; Artiodactyla; Bovidae. The record is from Rfam by way of RNAcentral.